Molecule: ribosomal RNA, 748 nt
Filed under: Polycauliona coralloides
Lineage: Eukaryota; Fungi; Ascomycota; Lecanoromycetes; Teloschistales; Teloschistaceae
Description: mitochondrial SSU rRNA
Rfam family: Bacterial small subunit ribosomal RNA
Source: RNAcentral
GGAGAUGUAUAGCAAUUGCUAUUUGCACUAAUAAUUUUUAGUGUGAAAUCGACUAUGUCGAAUAAAAUUCUGGGUAGAAUUAUGAUAAUGACAUUAGCUAUUCAUAAGUCUUGACCAAAUUACGUGCCAGCAGUCGCGGCAAUACGUAGAAGACAAGUGUUAUUCAUCUUUAAUAGGUUUAAAUGGUACUUAGACAGUAAAUAAAGCCUUAAAAAGGGGACUAGUUUGCUAGAGUUUUAUGUGAAGGGGUUUUAAAGUACUGCUGGUGUAGAGAUGAAAUUCAGUUAUACCUUAAAUGGCACAGGUUAAGGCGAAGGCAUCUUCUUAUGUAAAAACUGACGUUGAAGGACGAAGGCUUUGUGUCUCGAACAGGAUUAGAUACCCUAGUAGUCUAAGCAGAAAAUGAUGAAUGUCAUAGAUUAGAUAUAAUUUGAUCUAUAAAUGAAAGUGUAAGCAUUCCACCUCAAGAGUAAUUUGGCAACAUUGGAACUGAAAUCAUUAGACCGUUUCUGAAACCAGUAGUGAUGUAUGUUGUUUAAUUUGAUAAUCCGCAAAAAACCUUACCACAACUUGAAUAGAUAUAUUUUAUCAUACAAGCGCUGCACGGCUGUCUUUAGUUAAUGUCGUGAGACUUUGGUUAGUUCCAUAAAAUUAACGUAAACCCUUACUUUAUUUUUAUAUAAAGUAGUUCACCGCUAUAUUGGAUGUGAUAAUAGGNAUCAAGACAAGUCAUCAUGNUCUAAUAUGU